GACGAACGCUGGCGGCGUGCCUAACACAUGCAAGUCGAGCGGAGAUAAGCGGAAGGUAACUGAAGCUUAUCUUAGCGGCGGACGGGUGAGUAACACGUGGGCAACCUGCCUUGAAGUGGGGGAUAACACCGGGAAAUCGGUGCUAAUACCGCAUAACAUACACAAACUGCAUGGUAAGUGUAUCAAAGGAGCAAUCCGCUUUAAGAUGGGCCCGCGGCUGAUUAGCUAGUUGGUAAGGUAACGGCUUACCAAGGCGACGAUCAGUAGCCGACCUGAGAGGGUGACCGGCCACACUGGAACUGAGACACGGUCCAGACUCCUACGGGAGGCAGCAGUGGGGAAUAUUGCGCAAUGGGGGGAACCCUGACGCAGCAACGCCGCGUGGAGGAAGAAAGGUCUUCGGAUUGUAAACUCCUGUCUUCUGGGACGAAUAAUGACGGUACCAGAGGAGGAAGCCACGGCUAACUACGUG
This 472-nucleotide ribosomal RNA is filed under the name uncultured bacterium. Its description in RNAcentral is "bacterial SSU rRNA". It matches the Rfam family "Bacterial small subunit ribosomal RNA", at positions 28 to 507 of the family's 1533-position model. The record is from RNAcentral.